This 68-nucleotide transfer RNA is filed under the name Channa lucius. RNAcentral's name for it is "tRNA-Ser". The record is from RNAcentral. Lineage: Eukaryota; Metazoa; Chordata; Actinopteri; Anabantiformes; Channidae.
GAGAGAGGCACGCCCGCAAUGAAAACUGCUAAUUUUUACCACCUUGGUUGAACCCCAAGGCUCACUCA